Molecule: ribosomal RNA, 400 nt
Filed under: uncultured bacterium
Lineage: Bacteria
Description: bacterial SSU rRNA
Rfam family: Bacterial small subunit ribosomal RNA
Source: RNAcentral
UAAGGAAUAUUGGGCAAUGGGCGGAAGCCUGACCCAGCCAUCCCGCGUGCAGGAUGAAUGCCCUAUGGGUUGUAAACUGCUUUUGUUUGAGAAGAAUGGAAUGCAUUUAUGUGUUUUUGACGGUAUCUUACGAAUAAGCACCGGCUAACUCCGUGCCAGCAGCCGCGGUAAUACGGAGGGUGCAAGCGUUAUCCGGAAUCACUGGGUUUAAAGGGUGCGUAGGCGGCACGAUAAGUCAGAGGUGAAAGCUUACAGCUCAACUGUAAAAUUGCCUUUGAUACUGUUGUGCUUGAAUCAGGUUGAGGUAUGCAGAAUGUGGCAUGUAGCGGUGAAAUGCAUAGAUAUGCCAUAGAAUACCAAUUGCGAAGGCAGCAUGCUGGACCUGUAUUGACGCUGAGGC